GAUGAACGCUGGCGGCGUGCCUAAUACAUGCAAGUCGAGCGAACGGACGAGAAGCUUGCUUCUCUGAUGUUAGCGGCGGACGGGUGAGUCACACGUGGAUAACCUACCUCUAAGACUGGGAUAACUUCGGGAAACCGGAGCUAAUACCGGAUAAUAUUUUGAACCGCAUGGUUCCAAAGUGAAAGACGGUCUUGCUGUCACUUAUAGAUGGAUCCGCGCUGCAUUCGCUAGUUGGUAAGGUAACGGCUUACCAAGGCAACGAUGCAUAGCCGACCUGAGCGGGAGAUCCGACACAUGGUAACUGAGACACAGUCCAGACACCUGCGGGAGGCAGCAGUAGGGAAUCUUCCGCGAUGGACGAAAGCCGGAUGGUGGAAAGCCGCGUGAGUGAUGAAGGACUUCGGAUCGGAGAGCGCUGAUAGUAUGAAAGAAGAUAAGUGUAAGUAGCUGUGAACAUCAUGACGGUACCAAAACAGAAAGCCACGGCUAACUACGUG
This 497-nucleotide ribosomal RNA is filed under the name uncultured bacterium. RNAcentral's name for it is "partial 16S ribosomal RNA". It matches the Rfam family "Bacterial small subunit ribosomal RNA", at positions 28 to 507 of the family's 1533-position model. The record is from RNAcentral.